Molecule: ribosomal RNA, 1157 nt
Filed under: Escherichia coli
Lineage: Bacteria; Pseudomonadati; Pseudomonadota; Gammaproteobacteria; Enterobacterales; Enterobacteriaceae
Description: partial 23S ribosomal RNA
Rfam family: Bacterial large subunit ribosomal RNA
Source: RNAcentral
GGGUUGUGAGGUUAAGCGACUAAGCGUACACGGUGGAUGCCCUGGCAGUCAGAGGCGAUGAAGGACGUGCUAAUCUGCGAUAAGCGUCGGUAAGGUGAUAUGAACCGUUAUAACCGGCGAUUUCCGAAUGGGGAAACCCAGUGUGAUUCGUCACACUAUCAUUAACUGAAUCCAUAGGUUAAUGAGGCGAACCGGGGGAACUGAAACAUCUAAGUACCCCGAGGAAAAGAAAUCAACCGAGAUUCCCCCAGUAGCGGCGAGCGAACGGGGAGGAGCCCAGAGCCUGAAUCAGUGUGUGUGUUAGUGGAAGCGUCUGGAAAGGCGCGCGAUACAGGGUGACAGCCCCGUACACAAAAAUGCACAUGCUGUGAGCUCGAUGAGUAGGGCGGGACACGUGGUAUCCUGUCUGAAUAUGGGGGGACCAUCCUCCAAGGCUAAAUACUCCUGACUGACCGAUAGUGAACCAGUACCGUGAGGGAAAGGCGAAAAGAACCCCGGCGAGGGGAGUGAAAAAGAACCUGAAACCGUGUACGUACAAGCAGUGGGAGCCUCUUUAUGGGGUGACUGCGUACCUUUUGUAUAAUGGGUCAGCGACUUAUAUUCUGUAGCAAGGUUAACCGAAUAGGGGAGCCGAAGGGAAACCGAGUCUUAACUGGGCGUUAAGUUGCAGGGUAUAGACCCGAAACCCGGUGAUCUAGCCAUGGGCAGGUUGAAGGUUGGGUAACACUAACUGGAGGACCGAACCGACUAAUGUUGAAAAAUUAGCGGAUGACUUGUGGCUGGGGGUGAAAGGCCAAUCAAACCGGGAGAUAGCUGGUUCUCCCCGAAAGCUAUUUAGGUAGCGCCUCGUGAAUUCAUCUCCGGGGGUAGAGCACUGUUUCGGCAAGGGGGUCAUCCCGACUUACCAACCCGAUGCAAACUGCGAAUACCGGAGAAUGUUAUCACGGGAGACACACGGCGGGUGCUAACGUCCGUCGUGAAGAGGGAAACAACCCAGACCGCCAGCUAAGGUCCCAAAGUCAUGGUUAAGUGGGAAACGAUGUGGGAAGGCCCAGACAGCCAGGAUGUUGGCUUAGAAGCAGCCAUCAUUUAAAGAAAGCGUAAUAGCUCACUGGUCGAGUCGGCCUGCGCGGAAGAUGUAACGGGGCUAAACCAUG